CGUAGGGUGAACCUGCGGAGGGAUCAUUACCGAGUUUACAACUCCCAAACCCCUGUGAACAUACCAAUUGUUGCCUCGGCGGAUCAGCCCGCUCCCGGUAAAACGGGACGGCCCGCCAGAGGACCCUUAAACUCUGUUUCUAUAUGUAACUUCUGAGUAAAACCAUAAAUAAAUCAAAACUUUCAACAACGGAUCUCUUGGUUCUGGCAUCGAUGAAGAACGCAGCAAAAUGCGAUAAGUAAUGUGAAUUGCAGAAUUCAGUGAAUCAUCGAAUCUUUGAACGCACAUUGCGCCCGCCAGUAUUCUGGCGGGCAUGCCUGUUCGAGCGUCAUUUCAACCCUCAAGCCCAGCUUGGUGUUGGGACUCGCGAGUUAAACCGCGUUCCCCAAAUUGAUUGGCGGUCACGUCGAGCUUCCAUAGCGUAGUAGUAAAACCCUCGUUACUGGUAAUCGUCGCGGCCACGCCGUUAAACCCCAACUUCUGAAUGUUGACCUCGGAUCAGGUAGGAAUACCCGCUGAACUUAAGCAUAUCAAUAA
RNAcentral lists this ribosomal RNA (537 nucleotides) under Fusarium proliferatum. RNAcentral describes it as "eukaryotic LSU rRNA". The stretch from base 178 to 331 matches the Rfam family "5.8S ribosomal RNA". The record is from RNAcentral. Lineage: Eukaryota; Fungi; Ascomycota; Sordariomycetes; Hypocreales; Nectriaceae.